This 81-nucleotide microRNA precursor is filed under the name Gadus morhua (Atlantic cod). RNAcentral's name for it is "mir-459 microRNA precursor family". It matches the Rfam family "mir-459 microRNA precursor family". The record is from Rfam by way of RNAcentral. Lineage: Eukaryota; Metazoa; Chordata; Actinopteri; Gadiformes; Gadidae.
CCCGUCGCUAUCAGUAACAAGGAUUCAUCCUGUUGUCACCAUAGAAAGCAACAGGAAGUCACUGUUACUGGCCGUGAGGGU